RNAcentral lists this non-coding RNA (45 nucleotides) under Schistosoma mansoni. The record is from RNAcentral. Lineage: Eukaryota; Metazoa; Platyhelminthes; Trematoda; Strigeidida; Schistosomatidae.
ACCCAGCUGACGAGUCCCGAAUAGGACGAAACGUACGUCCUGGAU